Molecule: ribosomal RNA, 119 nt
Filed under: Helianthus annuus (common sunflower)
Lineage: Eukaryota; Viridiplantae; Streptophyta; Magnoliopsida; Asterales; Asteraceae
Source: RNAcentral
GGUUGCGAUCAUACCAGCAUUAAUGCACCGGAUGCCAUCAGAACUCCGCAGUUAAGCGUGCUUGGGCGAGAGUAGUACUAGGAUGGGUGACCCCCUGGGAAGUCCUCGUGUUGCAACCC